This 71-nucleotide transfer RNA is filed under the name Gymnotus pantherinus. RNAcentral's name for it is "tRNA-His". It matches the Rfam family "tRNA". Rfam says of the family: Transfer RNA (tRNA) molecules are approximately 80 nucleotides in length. Their secondary structure includes four short double-helical elements and three loops (D, anti-codon, and T loops). Lineage: Eukaryota; Metazoa; Chordata; Actinopteri; Gymnotiformes; Gymnotidae. The record is from RNAcentral.
GUAGACAUAGUUUAAAAAAAAAACACUAGAUUGUGAUUCUAGAAAUAGAAGUUAAACCCUUCUUGCCCACC